This 300-nucleotide long non-coding RNA is filed under the name Terrapene triunguis (Three-toed box turtle). RNAcentral's name for it is "Terrapene carolina triunguis (Three-toed box turtle) lncRNA (ENSTMTG00000020966.1)". The record is from RNAcentral. Lineage: Eukaryota; Metazoa; Chordata; Testudines; Emydidae.
UUAAGAGUUGAUGUUUGCACUGUGGAUAAGUCUCACCUCGAGGAGUGCCUGGGUGGAGCACAAAUUAGCCUGGCUGAAAUAUGUAGAUCUGGAGAGAAGUCAACACGCUGGUACAACCUUCUUAGUUAUAAAUAUCUUCAGAAGCAAAGCAGAAAACACAAACAAGGGGAUAUUUGUUCUGCAGUAUCCUGUGCUGAAAAAACAGACUCUGUAUCUGCACUGCUGGAACAGACUGCUGUUGAACUGGAAGCAGUAGAGAAGAAGCUGGAAGAAAGCAGAAGCACUUUAACUAGUGGAGAG